RNAcentral lists this ribosomal RNA (454 nucleotides) under uncultured Prevotella sp. Its description in RNAcentral is "partial 16S ribosomal RNA". It matches the Rfam family "Bacterial small subunit ribosomal RNA", at positions 341 to 792 of the family's 1533-position model. The record is from RNAcentral. Lineage: Bacteria; Pseudomonadati; Bacteroidota; Bacteroidia; Bacteroidales; Prevotellaceae.
ACGGGAGGCAGCAGUGAGGAAUAUUGGUCAAUGGUCGAGAGACUGAACCAGCCAAGUAGCGUGAAGGAUGACUGCCCUAUGGGUUGUAAACUUCUUUUGUUCGGGAAUAAAGUGCCGCACGUGUGCGGUUUUGUAUGUACCGUUCGAAUAAGCAUCGGCUAAUUCCGUGCCAGCAGCCGCGGUAAUACGGAAGAUGCGAGCGUUAUCCGGAUUUAUUGGGUUUAAAGGGAGCGUAGGCCGUGCUUUAAGCGUGUUGUGAAAUGUAGGCGCCCAACGUCUGCACUGCAGCGCGAACUGGAGCACUUGAGUACGCAGGAAGUAGGCGGAAUUCGUCGUGUAGCGGUGAAAUGCUUAGAUAUGACGAAGAACUCCGAUUGGGAAGCCAGCUUACUGUAGCGCCACUGACGCUGAUGCUCGAAAGCGUGGGUAUCGAACAGGAUUAGAUACCCUGGUA